GGGGACCGAAAUGAUGCAGGGCAGUGGGCGCUAGAGUGAAGCGGUGACUGUGGGUGUUGACUGAGUCUCUGCUCUAGUGGGGCUGAUGUGGGAGGCAGGGAUGAGGGCAAGAUUUCACGCACCAAUUGAAUUUUUUGUAGUGAGGGCUCUUGCUUGGCUUAUUUGCUGCACUUGUAGAGGAAUUGUCCAGGAGCAGCAGCCAGAGGAGAAAUUGGCAGACGUGGGCCUGAGGAGCCUGGACAUUCUUCUAAGGAGACAUGAACAGUCCUCAGCUUUCUGCCUCGUGCAUAACUGGCUGUGGUACCAAGGGAAAAGAAGUGACAAGUCAGAGUCUACUGCCCCCAUACGAUGGAAAGUGAGCGAGAGUGAUGGGACUGCGAGAAUUAUUGAUGCCUUGAAAAAGCCGUCCAAGUGGGAAUGGAAGAGUCAUCACUGUCAAUGAGAUAAGUGUCUGUUUUGGUGAUUGCUCUGCUCACGGCCCACCUUGCUCCUGAAAGGGAUGCCCCGUUUGCUGAGGCUGUGUUUGUAAGAAAAGGUUCCUGCCUAGCUGUGGUUUUGAGAGAGAGAGAAGAUUCCCAUUUUUAGGGGCUGCUCAGUUUUCUGGCCAGGAGCAGUGUGUCCUACGCAGCAGAAGGUUGCAUCUAGGAGAAUGAGUCCAAGUGGUGAAUUGCUUGCCUUUCCCUCGUGUGUUUCUCUCUCUCUCUCUCUCUCUCUCCUCUAGUGUGUUGGCCAACACUCUUUCUCAAUCUGUCCUUGCUUUUCCUUGUGCUGUCUCCCUUCUUAGGAUAUCGGCAGGCGAGCUAGGUGUGCACCCCCACAGGUUGUGUCUUGGGAGCCAUAAAGAAGUAGGAGGGGAUGAAAAUCAUGCGGGGCAGUCGGUGCGAGACUGGAGCGAUGACUGUUGGUGUUGUGGGGCUAAGACAGAUCGAAAGCGACGCAGGGAAGAGGGGCUUAAUUGGGCUCUAUGUAGUGCAGAAGUUCUCAAACUGGGGUUUAGGUCCCGUCAGGGGGCCGCAAGGUUGUUAUUUGGGGGGUUGUGAAAUGUCAUCCUCCAUACUAAACAUCACUUUGCUUCCAGCAUUUAUAAUGGUGUUGAAUAUACAAAAAGUGUGUUUAAUUUAUAAGAGGAGGGUCACACUCAGAAGCUUUCUAUGUAAAAGGGAUCAUCAGUACAAAAGGUUGAGAACCACUGGUGUAGUGAUAGUUCUUGCUUGCCUUUAUUAGUUUGCAGCGGAGUUGUGCAGGAGUCUCAGCUGGAGAAGAAGCUGUCAGAAGUGGACCUGAACUGCCUGGACAUCCUUCUAAGGAGACAUGAACAGUCCUCAGCUUUCUGCAUUCUGGAUAACUGGCUAUGAGUAAGAACAGUCACACAUCAGAGUCUACUGUCCUCAUGCGAUGGAAAGUGAGUGAGAGCAGCGAGCCUGUGAGCAUUGUUCAUGCCAGGCAACAGCCGUCAAUGUGGGGGUCGAGCAGACGCCACUGUCAGUGAGAUAAGUGUCUGUUUUGCUGAGGGUUCUGCUCACGGCCCAUAUCAGUUUCUUGCCUU
Molecule: long non-coding RNA, 1546 nt
Organism: Mauremys reevesii (Reeves's turtle)
Lineage: Eukaryota; Metazoa; Chordata; Testudines; Geoemydidae
Exons: 3
Source: RefSeq, a predicted model, not a curated record